Molecule: long non-coding RNA, 1075 nt
Filed under: Anas platyrhynchos platyrhynchos (common mallard)
Lineage: Eukaryota; Metazoa; Chordata; Aves; Anseriformes; Anatidae
Description: lncRNA (ENSAPLG00000022978.1)
Source: RNAcentral
GCACCUGCCCUCGGUCUCCCAGACACAUUCCCAGGACCAGGAGGGACUCUUUGAAACGCGUCUUGCAGAUGAUACCAAGCUGAGUGGUGCAGUGGAUACUAUGGAAGGAAGGGAUGUCAUCCAAAAGGUCCUGAAUAAGCUUGAGAAGUGGGCCUAUGUGAACCAAAUGAGGUUCAAAAAGGCCAAGUGCAAGUUGCUGCACCUGGGCUGAGGCAAUCCCAGACAUGAGUACAGACUAGGUGAGGAACUCAUUGAGAGCAGCUCUGCAGAGAAGGACGUGGGGUCCUGAUGAAUAAAAAGCUCGACAUGAGCUGGCAGUGUGUGUUUCCAGCCCAGAAAGCCAACUGCAUCCUGGGUUGCAUCAACGGAGGAAUGUCUGGAGCCCCCAGCACAAGCAGGAUGUGGAGCUCUUAGAACAGGUUCAGGGGAGGGCCGUGAAGAUGAUCAAGGGGUUGGAGCAUCUCUCCUACAAAGAAAGACUGUGAGAGCUGGGGAUGUUCAGCCUACAGAAGCGAAGGCUCCAGGGUGACUUCAUUGGGGUGUAACUAGGUGGGGGGCUGUAACUAGAUGGUCCUUGAGGUCUGUUCCAGCCCAAGAUAAUAUAUUAUUGUGUGAUUCUAAGAUUCUAUGAAAUCCAAGGCACCAUGACCUGGAGUGUGGAGUGGCCCUUGUCCUUGUCCUGCGUGGUCAGGAGCAGCCGCUUCCUGAAGGAGUGGGCAUCAUCCCUGCAUAUCGCAGCUCCCUUCUUCGAAAAAAACAGGCCCUACAAGGUGGCUCUGGUCCUCGUGGUAUCAGCUGCAAGCAUUCGCUUUGGUGUUUAUCUCUAUCGAAAGCAAGCAACACAGAGUCAGGAGCUGGUGGAACUGGCUGCCAAACUCGAGGAACAAGCUGCAGUGCUGGAUGAAUACCGUACAAACGCUGAGCGCCAAUCUGCAAGACUGAAGGAACUAGCUGAAGAGCUGGUGAGGAAGGAUACAGAACGUGAGGAACAAGCAGAAGAUCUGGCACAAAAAGAUAAAAGGCUGGAACUGUCAGCAGAGCUGGGUGAGUGUCCCACCCCAACGGAAAGAACUUC